This 95-nucleotide ribosomal RNA is filed under the name Lepidorhombus whiffiagonis (megrim). Lineage: Eukaryota; Metazoa; Chordata; Actinopteri; Pleuronectiformes; Scophthalmidae. The record is from RNAcentral.
CCCCGAUCCUCGUUUGAUCUCGGAAGCUAAGAUAGGUNGGGCCUGGUUAGUACUUGGAUGGGAGACCGCCUGGGAAUACCUGGUGCUGUAAGCUU